Molecule: ribosomal RNA, 460 nt
Filed under: uncultured bacterium
Lineage: Bacteria
Description: partial 16S ribosomal RNA
Rfam family: Bacterial small subunit ribosomal RNA
Source: RNAcentral
CCUACGGGAGGCAGCAGUGAGGAAUAUUGGUCAAUGGACGAGAGUCUGAACCAGCCAAGUAGCGUGAAGGAUGAAUGCCCUAUGGGUUGUAAACUUCUUUUAUAUGGGAAUAAACUGUUCCACGUGUGGGAUUUUGUAUGUACCAUAUGAAUAAGGAUCGGCUCACUCCGUGCCAGCAGCCGCGGUAAUACGGAGGAUCCGAGCGUUAUCCGGAUUUAUUGGGUUUAAAGGGAGCGUAGGUGGAUUGUUAAGUCAGUUGUGAAAGUUUGCGGCUCAACCGUAAAAUUGCAGUUGAAACUGGCAGUCUUGAGUACAGUAGAGGUGGGCGGAAUUCGUGGUGUAGCGGUGAAAUGCUUAGAUAUCACGAAGAACUCCGAUGGCGAAGGCAGCUCACUGGACUGCAACUGACACUGAGGCUCGAAAGUGUGGGUAGCAAACAGGAUUAGAUACCCGGGUAGUC